Molecule: ribosomal RNA, 465 nt
Filed under: uncultured bacterium
Lineage: Bacteria
Description: partial 16S ribosomal RNA
Rfam family: Bacterial small subunit ribosomal RNA
Source: RNAcentral
GACGAACGCUGGCGGCGUGCUUAACACAUGCAAGUCGAACGGAAAGGCCCUUUUGGGGGUACUCGAGUGGCGCACGGGGGAGUAACACGCGAGUAAGCUGCGCUUGCUUCCUGGAGAACUGCAGGAAACUGGGGGUAAUACCGGGGAGGGAUCCUUGCUGCAUGGGGGGGGGUGGAAAGAUUCGGGGGGUUUGGGUGGACGCGCGGCGUAUCAGCGUGUGGGUGGGGGGGUGGCUUACCAAGGCGUUGACGUGUGGCGGGCCUGAGAGGGGGAGCGGCCAUAUUGGGUCUGAGAUGCGGCCCAGACUCCUACGGGGGGCCGCUGGGGGGAAUAUUGCACCAUGGGCGGGAGCCUGGUGCAGCAACGCCGCGUGCGGUAUGACGGCCUUGGUGUUGUAAACCGCUUUCAGCAGAGGCGACGCUUGUGGUGACGGUACCUGCAGAAGAAGCACCGGCUAACUACGUG